Molecule: non-coding RNA, 72 nt
Organism: Bos taurus (domestic cattle)
Lineage: Eukaryota; Metazoa; Chordata; Mammalia; Artiodactyla; Bovidae
Source: Rfam
UCCCUGAUGGCUUAGUGGUGAAGAAUUCAUCUGCCAACGCAGGAGACACAGGUUCGAUUCCUGUUCCGGGAA